Molecule: ribosomal RNA, 504 nt
Filed under: uncultured bacterium
Lineage: Bacteria
Description: partial 16S ribosomal RNA
Rfam family: Bacterial small subunit ribosomal RNA
Source: RNAcentral
GACGAACGCUGGCGGCGUGCCUAAUACAUGCAAGUAGAACGCACAGUUUAUACCGUAGCUUGCUACACCAUAGACUGUGAGUUGCGAACGGGUGAGUAACGCGUAGGUAACCUGCCUGGUAGCGUGGGAUAACUAUUGGAAACGAUAGCUAAUACCUCAUAAUAUUAAUUAUUGCAUGAUAAUUAAUUGAAAGGUGCAAUUGCACCACUACCAGAUGGACCUGCGUUGUAUUAGCUAGUAGGUGAGGUAACGGCUCACCUAGGCGACGAUACAUAGCCGACCUGAGAGGGUGAUCGGCCACACUGGGACUGAGACAAGGCCCAGACUCCUACGGGAGGCAGCAGUAGGGAAUCUUCGGCAAUGGACGAAAGUCUGACCGAGCAACGCCGCGUGAGUGAAGAAGGUUUUCGGAUCGUAAAGCUCUGUUGUAAGAGAAGAACGGGUGUGAGAGUGGAAAGUUCACACUGUGACGGUAUCUUACCAGAAAGGGACGGCUAACUACGU